CGCGCGUGGCCCAGGGGCGGUGCGAAGGGCGGGGGCGCGCGAGCGCGGGCUUCGGCCUAUAAAAGGGCCGCCCCGCCGUUCCCUCCCGAACGUGCGAGACGCCGGGCCCCCUCCUCCUCCUCCUCCGCCGCCGUUCUGCAGUGUCUGCACCCGGCCGCUUAAUGAGAUUUAUUCACGCUCGGCUCUGCUCAUCUUUGCCAGGGGUUGGCAGAUCCAGUGCACAGGGAUUUCCCACAGCGGUGUUUUUCUCCCGCCCCUUUGCUUCCCUCUCGCCGUAGUAUAUCCUUCCUUGGUUUCCUCCCGGGGCCCGCAGGCUGCGUCCCGGGCGCGCGCCUGGACAUAAAUGAUAAAUGGCUGCCACCCCAACUUCUGAUUCUUAGGCAACUCCAUUCUACCAACAAACCACUCAUUUUGAUUUGAUAACUCCUGACAACCUACAUUUUGACAACCCUACUUUGGAUGAAUUUUCAAUAAAGCCAUGGUGACCAUGCUUGGGGAUUUUCAUAGUUUGAGUAAUUCCCCUGAGCUCUGCCACCCAGCAAGUUAAAGAGGACAAGAUUGCUCCCUGGGGAUUGUAGUUCUUGGCAGGUCAGCAGCUUGUUUUCAUGAGGUCUGCACCCUGACCUGGCCUACUGUUAGGAGCUGUUGUGUUGGUGGUUUAUGCUGUUUUUAGUUGUUUCUUCCAUCUUACACAGUUAUUUGUAUAUAAGGAUUUUUGAAAAGUAAAUGUCUUAUGGGACUGUUUUGCUUCUACAAAGAAAAAUUAAAACUGUUUCAAAGUAA
Bubalus bubalis (water buffalo) is the source of this 783-nucleotide long non-coding RNA. RefSeq lists it as uncharacterized. Lineage: Eukaryota; Metazoa; Chordata; Mammalia; Artiodactyla; Bovidae. The record is from RefSeq and is a predicted model, not a curated record. The transcript is spliced from 4 exons.